Molecule: ribosomal RNA, 567 nt
Filed under: Trichoderma harzianum
Lineage: Eukaryota; Fungi; Ascomycota; Sordariomycetes; Hypocreales; Hypocreaceae
Description: eukaryotic LSU rRNA
Rfam family: 5.8S ribosomal RNA (bases 193-346)
Source: RNAcentral
AACUCCCAAACCCAAUGUGAACGUUACCAAACUGUUGCCCUCGGCGGGAUCUCUGCCCCGGGUGCGUCGCAGCCCCGGACCAAGGCGCCCGCCGGAGGACCAACCUAAAACUCUUUUUGUAUACCCCCUCGCGGGUUUUUUAUAAUCUGAGCCUUCUCGGCGCCUCUCGUAGGCGUUUCGAAAAUGAAUCAAAACUUUCAACAACGGAUCUCUUGGUUCUGGCAUCGAUGAAGAACGCAGCGAAAUGCGAUAAGUAAUGUGAAUUGCAGAAUUCAGUGAAUCAUCGAAUCUUUGAACGCACAUUGCGCCCGCCAGUAUUCUGGCGGGCAUGCCUGUCCGAGCGUCAUUUCAACCCUCGAACCCCUCCGGGGGGUCGGCGUUGGGGAUCGGCCCUCCCUUAGCGGGUGGCCGUCUCCGAAAUACAGUGGCGGUCUCGCCGCAGCCUCUCCUGCGCAGUAGUUUGCACACUCGCAUCGGGAGCGCGGCGCGUCCACAGCCGUUAAACACCCAACUUCUGAAAUGUGACCUCGGAUCAGGUAGGAAUACCCGCUGAACUUAGCAUAUCAU